This 492-nucleotide ribosomal RNA is filed under the name uncultured bacterium. Its description in RNAcentral is "partial 16S ribosomal RNA". It matches the Rfam family "Bacterial small subunit ribosomal RNA", at positions 29 to 507 of the family's 1533-position model. The record is from RNAcentral.
AGUGAACGCUGGCGGUAGGCCUAACACAUGCAAGUCGAACGGCAGCACAGUAAGAGCUUGCUCUUACGGGUGGCGAGUGGCGGACGGGUGAGGCAUACAUCGGAAUCUACUUUUUCGUGGGGGAUAACGUAGGGAAACUUACGCUAAUACCGCAUACGACCUACGGGUGAAAGCAGUGGAUCUUCGGACCUUGCGCGAUUGAAUGAGCCGAUGUCGGAUUAGCUAGUUGGCGGGGUAAAGGCCCACCAAGGCGACGAUCCGUAGCUGGUCUGAGAGGAUGAUCAGCCACACUGGAACUGAGACACGGUCCAGACUCCUACGGGAGGCAGCAGUGGGGAAUAUUGGACAAUGGGCGCAAGCCUGAUCCAGCCAUACCGCGUGGGUGAAGAAGGCCUUCGGGUUGUAAAGCCCUUUUGUUGGGAAAGAAAAGCAGCAUGUUAAUACCCCGCUGUUCUGACGGUACCCAAAGAAUAAGCACCGGCUAACUUCGUG